This 283-nucleotide long non-coding RNA is filed under the name Carica papaya (papaya). Its description in RNAcentral is "long non-coding RNA (CPAP_LNC003308)". The record is from RNAcentral. Lineage: Eukaryota; Viridiplantae; Streptophyta; Magnoliopsida; Brassicales; Caricaceae.
GCUUGGAGGUUCCAAUGGGGCCUCUGCUUAGAGAUCAAGCAGCAUUUAUUUUUACAAGAGCUCAAGACUUACUCGGCCGUUUUGGCCAAGGCACAGUUAGUGGAGAGGAGCCUCCACACCCUUCCUCAGUCAGCAGGGAACCACAGACCCUCAGCUCCACCCCGCAGACCAGCACCUACUGCGCCUGUCCAACAGAACAAGAGGCCUAGACCGGUGAUCCAGGCUCCCCCUCAGGCUCCAGUGGCAGGACGUGGUAAGAUCUGUCAACAUUGCGGCAGGGAUC